CCUACGGGGGGCAGCAGUGGGGAAUAUUGGACAAUGGGGGCAACCCUGAUCCAGCCAUGCCGCGUGUGUGAAGAAGGCCCUCGGGUUGUAAAGCACUUUCAGUGAGGAAGAACGCCUGGUGGUUAAUACCCAUCAGGAAAGACAUCACUCACAGAAGUAGCACCGGCUAACUCCGUGCCAGCAGCCGCGGUAAUACGGAGGGUGCGAGCGUUAAUCGGAAUUACUGGGCGUAAAGCGCGCGUAGGUGGCUUGAUAAGCCGGUUGUGAAAGCCCCGGGCUCAACCUGGGAACGGCAUCCGGAACUGUCAAGCUAGAGUGCAGGAGAGGAAGGUAGAAUUCCCGGUGUAGCGGUGAAAUGCGUAGAGAUCGGGAGGAAUACCAGUGGCGAAGGCGGCCUUCUGGACUGACACUGACACUGAGGUGCGAAAGCGUGGGUAGCAAACAGGAUUAGAUACCCGGUAGUC
RNAcentral lists this ribosomal RNA (464 nucleotides) under Vreelandella stevensii. RNAcentral's name for it is "partial 16S ribosomal RNA". It matches the Rfam family "Bacterial small subunit ribosomal RNA", at positions 338 to 795 of the family's 1533-position model. The record is from RNAcentral. Lineage: Bacteria; Pseudomonadati; Pseudomonadota; Gammaproteobacteria; Oceanospirillales; Halomonadaceae.